GACGAACGCUGGCGGCGUGCUUAACACAUGCAAGUCGAACGGAAAGGCCAGUGCUUGCACUGGUACUCGAGUGGCGAACGGGUGAGUAACACGUGGGUUAUCUGCCUUUCACUCUGGGAUAAGCUUGGGAAACUGGGUCUAAUACCGGAUAUGAACUGCCUUUAGUGUGGUGGUUGGAAAGUUUUUUCGGUGCAAGAUGAGCUCGCGGCCUAUCAGCUUGUUGGUGGGGUAAUGGCCUACCAAGGCGUCGACGGGUAGCCGGCCUGAGAGGGUGUACGGCCACAUUGGGACUGAGAUAAGGCACAGACUACUACGGGAGGCAGCAGUGGGGAAUAUUGCACAAUGGGCGGAAGCCUGAUGCAGCGACGCCGCGUGGGGGAUGACGGCAUUCGGGUUGUAAACUCCUUUCGACAGGGACGAAGCGUAAGUGACGGUACCUGGAUAAGAAGCACCGGCUAACUACGUG
RNAcentral lists this ribosomal RNA (466 nucleotides) under uncultured bacterium. Its description in RNAcentral is "partial 16S ribosomal RNA". It matches the Rfam family "Bacterial small subunit ribosomal RNA", at positions 28 to 507 of the family's 1533-position model. The record is from RNAcentral.